CAAAAAAUGAUGCAAAACGGGUGCAUUUCGGCACCUAAAUGCACUAUUUUCGGGUAGCGAAACUCGGGUGGAUUUUUUUGCAACGAACGCAUCCAAUCUACUCAUUGGACCCUAGAACAUGUUUGGGAGUGUUUUCGAGCAUUCGGUUCCGGCACGAAAAACGCUGCAAAAAUGGUGCAUUUCGGCACCCGAAUGCACUAUUUCCGGGUAGUGAAACUCUGGUGGACCUUUUCGCAACGAAUGCACCCAAUCUACCUCAUUAGACCCUAGAACAUGUUUGGGAGUGUUUUCGAUCAUUCGUUACGGCAUGAAAACCGAUGCAAAACGGGUGCAUUUCGGCACCGGAACGCACUAUUUCGGGGUAGCGAAACUCGGGUGGAUUUUUUCGCAACGAACGCACCCAAUCUACCUCAUUAGACCCUAGAACAUGUUUGGGAAUGUUUUCGAGCAUUCGGUUACAGCACCAAAAAUGAUGCAAAACGGGUGCAUUUCGGCACCCAAACACACUAUUUCCGGGUAGCGAAACUCGGGUGGAUUUUUUCGCAACGAACGCAUCCAAUCUAAUCAUUGGACCCUAGAACAUGUUUGGGAGUGUUUUCGAGCAUUCGGUUCUGGCACGAAAAAUGAUGCAAAAAUGGUGCAUUUCGGCACCCGAAUGCACUAUUUCCGGGUAGUGAAACUCUGGUGGACCUUUUCGCAACGAAUGCAUCCAAUCUACCUCAUCAGACCCUAGAACAUGUUUGGGAGUGUUUUCGAGCAUUCGGUUCUGGCACGAAAAAUGAUGCUAAACGGGUGCAUUUCGGCACCCGAAUGCACUAUUUCCAGGUAGUGAAACUCUGGUAGACCUUUCCGCAACAAAUACACCCAAUCUACCUCAUUAGACCCUAGAACAUGCAUGAAAAGCGAUGCAGAACGGGUGCACUUCGGCACCCGAAUGCACUAUUUCCGCCUAGCGAAACUCGAGUGGAUUUUUUCACAACGAGCGUGUCCAACCUACCUCAUUAGACCCAAGAACAUGUUUGGGAAUGUUUUCGAGCAUUCGGUUACGGCACGAAAACGAUGCAAAACGGGUGCAUUUCGGCACCCGAAUGCAUAUUGCCGGGUAGCGAAACUCGGGUGGAUUUUUUCGCAACGAACACAUGCAAUCUUCCUAAUUAUACCCUAUAACAUGUUUGGGAGUGUUUUUGAGUAUUCGGUUCCGGCACGAAAAACGAUGCAAAACGGGUGCAUUUCGGCACCCGAAUGCACUAUUUCCGGGUAGCGAAACUCGGGUGGAUUUUCUCACAACGAAUGCAUCCAAUCUUCCUAAUUAUACCCUAGAACAUGUUUGGGAGUGUUUCUGAGCAUUCGGUUUCGGAACGAAAAAUGAUGCAAAACGGGUGCAUUUCGGCACCCGAAUGCAUAUUGCCGGGUAGCGAAACUCGGGUGGAUUUUUUCGCAACGAACGCAUGCAAUCUUCCUAAUUAUACCCUAGAACAUGUUUGGGAGUAUUUUUGAGCUUUCGGUUCCGGAAGGAAAAAUGAUGCAAAACGGGUGCAUUUCGGCACCCGAAUGCACUUUCUCCGUGUAGCGAAACUCGGGUGGAUUUUUUCGCAACGAACGCAUGCAAUCUUCCUAAUUAUACCCUAGAACAUGUUUGGGAGUGUUUUCGAGCAUUCGGUUCCGGAACGAAAAAUGAUGCAAAACGGGUGCAUUUCGACACCCGAAUGCACUUUUUCCGUGUAGCGAAACUCGGGUGGAUUUUUUCGCAACGAACGCAUGCAAUCUUCCUAAUUAUACCCUAGAACAUGUUUGGGAGUGUUUUUGGGCAUUCGGUUCCGGAACGAAAAAUGAUGCGAAACGGGUGCAUUUCGGCACCCGAAUGCAUAUUGCCGGGUAGCGAAACUCGGGUGGAUUUUUUCGCAACGAACGCAUGCAAUCUUCCUAAUUAUACCCUAGAACAUGUUUGGGAGUGUUUUUGAGCAUUCGGUUCCGGAACGAAAAAUGAUGCAAAACGGGUGCAUUUCGGCACCCGAAUGCAUAUUGCCGGGUAGCGAAACUCGGGUGGAUUUUUUCGCGACGAACGCAUGCUAUCUUCCUAAUUAGACCCUAGAACAUGUUUGGGAGUGUUUUUGAGCAUUCGGUUCCGGAACGAAAAAUGAUGCAAAAUGGGUGCAUUUCGGCACCCGAAUGCCCUUUCUCCGUGUAGUGAAAAUCGGGUGGAUUUUUUCGCAACGAACGCAUGCAAUCUUCCUAAUUAUACCCUAGAACAUGUUUGGGAGUGUUUUUGAGCAUUCGGUUCCGGAACGAAAAAUGAUGCAAAAUGGGUGCAUUUCGGCACCCGAAUGCACUUUUUCCGUGUAGCCAAGAUCAGGUGGAUUUUUUCGCAACGAACGCAUGCAGUCUUCCUAAUUAUACCCUAGAACAUGUUUGGGAGUGUUUUUGAGCAUUCGGUUCCGGAACGAAAAACGAUGCAAAACGGGUGCAUUUCAGCACCCGAAUGCACUUUUUCCGUGUAGCGAAACUCGGGUGGAUUUUUUCGCAACGAACGCAUGCAAUCUUCGUAAUUAUAUCCUAGAACAUGUUUGGGAGUGUUUUUGAGCAUUCGGUUCUGGAACGAAAAAUGAUGCAAAACGGGUGCAUUUCGGCAUCCGAAUGCACUAUUUCCGGGUAGCGAAACUUGGGUGGAUUUUUUCGCAACGAACGCACCCAAUCUACCUCAUUAGACCUUAGAACAUGUUUGGGAUUGUUUUCGAGCAUUCGGUUCCGUCACGAAAAAUGAUGCAAAACGAGUGGAUUUCGGCACCCGAAUGCACUAUUUUCGGGUAGCGAAACUCAGGUGGAUUUUUUCGCAACGAACGCAUCCAAUCUACCUAAUUAGACCCUAGAACAUGUUCAGAAGUGUUUCCGAGCAUUCGGUUCCGUCACGAAAAAUGAUGCAAAAAUAGUGGAUUUCGGCACCCAAAUCCACUAUUUCCAGGUAGCGAAACUCGUGUUAAUUUUCUCGCAACGAACGCAUCCAAUCUACCUCAUUAGACCGUAGAACAUGUUUGGGAGUGUUUUUGAGCAUUCGGUUUCGGCACGAAAAAUGAUGCAAAACGAGUGGAUUUCGGCACCCGAAUGCACUAUUUCCGGGUAGCGAAACUCGGGUGGAUUUUUUCGCAACGAACGCAUGCAAUCUUCCUAAUUAUACCCUAGAGCAUGUUUGGGAGUGUUUUUGAGCAUUCGGUUCCGGCACGAAAAAUGAUGCAAAACGGGUGCAUUUCAGCACCCGAAUGCACUAUUUCGGGGUAGCGAAACUCAGGUGGAUUUUUUCGCAACGAACGCAUGCAAUCUACCUAAUUAUACCCUAGAACAUGUUUGGGAGUGUUUUUGGGCAUUCGGUUCCGGCACGAAAAACGAUGCAAAACGGGAGCAUUUCGGCACCCAAACACACUAUUUCCGGGUAGCGAAACUCGGGUGGAUUUUUUCGCAACGAACGCAUGCAAUCUUCCUAAUUAUACCCUGGAACAUGUUUGGGAGUGUUUUUGAGCAUUCGGUUCCGGAACGAAAAAUGAUGCAAAACGGGUGCAUUUCGGCACCCGAAUGCACUUUCUCCGUGUAGCGAAAAUCGGGUGGAUUUUUUCGCAACGAACGCAUGCAAUCUUCCUAAUUAUACCCUAGAACAUGUUUGGGAGUGUUUUUGAGCAUUCGGUUCUGGAACGAAAAAUGAUGGAAAACGGGUGCAUUUCGGCACCCGAAUGCACUUUUUCCGUGUAGCGAAAAUCGGGUGGAUUUUUUUGCAACGAACGCAUGCAAUCUUCCUAAUUAUACCCUAGAGCAUGUUUGGGAGUGUUUUUGAGCAUUCGGUUCCGGAACGAAAAAUGAUGCAAAACGGGUGCAUUUCGGCACCCGAAUGCAUAUUGCCGGGUAGCGAAACUCGUGUGGAUUUUUUCGCAACGAACGCAUGCAAUCUUCCUAAUUAUACCCUAGAACAUGUUCAGAAGUGUUUCUGAGCAUUCGGUUCCGGCACGAAAAAUGAUGCAAAACGGGUGCAUUUCAGCACCCGAAUGCACUAUUUCGGGGUAGCGAAACUCAGGUGGAUUUUUUCGCAACGAACGCAUGCAAUCUACCUAAUUAUACCCUAGAACAUGUUUGGGAGUGUUUUUGGGCAUUCGGUUCCGGCACGAAAAACGAUGCAAAACGGGAGCAUUUCGGCACCCAAACACACUAUUUCCGGGUAGCGAAACUCGGGUGGAUUUUUUCGCAACGAACGCAUGCAAUCUUCCUAAUUAUACCCUGGAACAUGUUUGGGAGUGUUUUUGAGCAUUCGGUUCCGGAACGAAAAAUGAUGCAAAACGGGUGCAUUUCGGCACCCGAAUGCACUUUCUCCGUGUAGCGAAAAUCGGGUGGAUUUUUUCGCAACGAACGCAUGCAAUCUUCCUAAUUAUACCCUGGAACAUGUUUGGGAGUGUUUUUGAGCAUUCGGUUCCGGAAUGAAAAAUGAUGGAAAACGGGUGCAUUUCGGCACCCGAAUGCACUUUUUUCGUGUAGCGAAAAUCGGGUGGAUUUUUUUGCAACGAACGCAUGCAAUCUUCCUAAUUAUACCCUAGAGCAUGUUUGGGAGUGUUUUUGAGCAUUCGGUUCCGGAACGAAAAAUGAUGCAAAACGGGUGCAUUUCGGCACCCGAAUGCAUAUUGCCGGGUAGCGAAACUCGGGUGGAUUUUUUCGCAACGAACGCAUGCAAUCUUCCUAAUUAUACCCUAGAACAUGUUCAGAAGUGUUUCUGAGCAUUCGGUUCCGGCACGAAAAAUGAUGCAAAACGGGUGCAUUUCAGCACCCGAAUGCACUAUUUCUGGGUAGCGAAACUCGUGUGGAUUUUUUCGCAACGAACGCAUGCAAUCUUCCUAAUUAUACCCUAGAACAUGUUUGGAAAUGUUUUUGAGCAUUCGGUUCCGGCACGAAAAACGAUGCAAAACGGGUGCAAUACGGCACCCGAAUGCUAUAUUUCCGGGUAGCGAAAGUCGGGUGGAUUUUUUCGCAACGAACGCAUGCAAUCUUCCUAAUUAUACCCUAGAACAUGUUUGGGAGUGUUUUUAGGCAUUCGGUCUCGGCACGAAAAAUGAUGCAAAACGGGUGCAUUUCGACAUCCGAAUGCACUAUUUCCGGGUAGCGAAACUCGGGUGGAUUUUUUCGCAAUGAACGCACCCAAUCUACCUCAUUAGACCCUAGAACUUGUUUGGGAUUGUUUUCGAGCAUUCAGUUCCGUCACGAAAAAUGAUGCAAAACGAGUGGAUUUCGGCACCCGAAUGCACUAUUUGCGGGUAGCGAAACUCGGGUGGAUUUUUUCGCAACGAACGCAUGCAAUCUUCCUAAUUAUACCCUAGAACAUGUUUGGGAGUGUUUUUGAGCAUUCGGUUCCGGAACGAAAAAUGAUGCAAAACGGGUGCAUUUCGGCACCCGAAUGCAUAUUGCUGGGUAGCGAAACUCGGGUGGAUUUUUUCGCAACGAACGCAUGCAAUCUUCCUAAUUAUACCCUAGAACAUGUUUGGGAGUGUUUUUGAGCAUUCGGUUCCGGAACGAAAAAUGAUGCAAGACGGGUGCAUUUCGGCACCCGAAUGCAU
Molecule: long non-coding RNA, 5582 nt
Filed under: Setaria viridis
Lineage: Eukaryota; Viridiplantae; Streptophyta; Magnoliopsida; Poales; Poaceae
Description: long non-coding RNA (SVIR_LNC005614)
Source: RNAcentral